Molecule: ribosomal RNA, 653 nt
Filed under: bacterium SVAL2.20
Lineage: Bacteria
Description: bacterial SSU rRNA
Rfam family: Bacterial small subunit ribosomal RNA
Source: RNAcentral
UGCAGUCGAACGGUACAGGCCUUCGGGCGCUGACGAGUGGCGGACGGGUGAGUAAUGCUUGGGAACUUGCCUUUUGGAGGGGGAUAACAGUUGGAAACGACUGCUAAUACCGCAUGAUGUCGCAAGACCAAAGGGGGCUUAGGCUCCUGCCAAGAGAGAGGCCCAAGUGAGAUUAGCUAGUUGGUGGGGUAAAGGCUCACCAAGGCGACGAUCUCUAGCUGUUCUGAGAGGAAGAUCAGCCACACUGGGACUGAGACACGGCCCAGACUCCUACGGGAGGCAGCAGUGGGGAAUAUUGCACAAUGGGGGGAACCCUGAUGCAGCCAUGCCGCGUGUGUGAAGAAGGCCUUCGGGUUGUAAAGCACUUUCAGUGGUGAGGAAGGGUGUCUGGUUAAUACCCGGACACAUUGACGUUAGCCACAGAAGAAGCACCGGCUAACUCCGUGCCAGCAGCCGCGGUAAUACGGAGGGUGCGAGCGUUAAUCGGAAUUACUGGGCGUAAAGCGCACGCAGGCGGUUUGUUAAGCUAGAUGUGAAAGCCCCGGGCUCAACCUGGGAUGGUCAUUUAGAACUGGCAAGCUAGAGUCUUGGAGAGGGGGGUGGAAUUCCAGGUGUAGCGGUGAAAUGCGUAGAUAUCUGGAGGAACAUCAGUG